This 301-nucleotide ribosomal RNA is filed under the name uncultured bacterium. Its description in RNAcentral is "partial 16S ribosomal RNA". It matches the Rfam family "Bacterial small subunit ribosomal RNA", at positions 509 to 809 of the family's 1533-position model. The record is from RNAcentral.
CAGUAGCCGCGGGAAUACGAAGGGGGCUAGCGUUGCUCGGAUUUACUGGGCGUAAAGGGUGCGUAGGCGGACCGUUUAGUUGGGGGUGAAAGCCCGGGGCUCAACCUCGGAAUUGCCUUCAAUACUGGCGGUCUUGAGUAUGGAAGAGGUAAGUGGAACUCCGAGUGUAGAGGUGAAAUUCGUAGAUAUUCGGAAGAACACCGGUGGCGAAGGCGACUUACUGGUCCAUUACUGACGCUGAGGCACGAAAGCGUGGGGAGCAAACAGGAUUAGAUACCCGGGUAGUCCCUGUCUCUUAUAA